GGAUUGAACGCUGGCGGCAGGCCUAACACAUGCGAGUCGAGCGGCAGCGCGGGUACUUGUACCUGGUGGCGAGCGGCGGACGGGUGAGUAAUGCCUAGGAAUCUGCCUGGUAGUGGGGGAUAACGGCUCGGGAAACGGACGCUAAUACCGCAUACGUCCUACGGGAGAAAGCGAGGGGACCUUCGGGCCUUGCGCUAUCAGAUGAGCCUAGGUCGGAUUAGCUAGUUGGUGAGUAAUGGCUCGACCAAGGCGACGAUCCGUAAUGGUCUGAGAGGAUGGUCAGUCACACUGGGAACUGGA
This 300-nucleotide ribosomal RNA is filed under the name uncultured soil bacterium. Its description in RNAcentral is "bacterial SSU rRNA". It matches the Rfam family "Bacterial small subunit ribosomal RNA", at positions 27 to 324 of the family's 1533-position model. The record is from RNAcentral.